Molecule: ribosomal RNA, 370 nt
Filed under: uncultured bacterium
Lineage: Bacteria
Description: bacterial SSU rRNA
Rfam family: Bacterial small subunit ribosomal RNA
Source: RNAcentral
GAAGGUGGCGACCGUUGUUCGGAAUCACUGGGCAUAAAGAGCUCGUAGGCGGUGAGGAAAGUCGGGUGUGAAAUCCCUCGGCCCAACCGAGGAACUGCGCUCGAAACUGCCUUGCUUGAGGACGGAAGGGGACCACGGAAUUCCUGGUGGAGCGGUGAAAUGCGUUGAUAUCAGGAGGAACACCGGCGGCGAAGGCGGUGGUCUGGUCCGUUUCUGACGCUGAGGAGCGAAAGCUAGGGGAGCAAACGGGAUUAGAUACCCCGGUAGUCCUAGCCGUAAACGAUGGGAACUAGGUAGGGGGGUACCCAAUGCCUCCCUGCUGGAGUUAAUAUAUUAAGUUCCCCGCCUGGGGAGUAUAGUCGCAAGGCUG